CCAGGCGCGAAACUUUACAAUGCGGGAAACCGUGAUAAGGGGACACCGAGUGCCAGCAUCAUAUGCUGGCUGUCCAGGUGUGUAAAAUACACCUGUUAGCAAGGGCCGGGCAAGACCGGUGCCAGCCGCCGCGGUAACACCGGCGGCCCGAGUGGUGAUCGUGAUUAUUGGGUCUAAAGGGUCCGUAGCCGGUUUGGUCAGUCCUCCGGGAAAUCUGACGGCUCAACCGUUAGGCUUUCGGGGGAUACUGCCAGGCUUGGAACCGGGAGAGGUAAGAGGUACUACAGGGGUAGGAGUGAAAUCUUGUAAUCCCUGUGAGACCACCUGUGGCGAAGGCGUCUUACCAGAACGGGUUCGACGGUGAGGGACGAAAGCUGGCGGCACGAACCGGAUUAGAUACCCGGGUAGUCCCAGCCGUAAACGAUGCUCGCUAGGUGUCAGGCAUGGCGCGACCGUGUCUGGUGCCGCAGGGAAGCCGUGAAGCGAGCCACCUGGGAAGUACGGCCGCAAGGCUGAAACUUAAAGGAAUUGGCGGGGGAGCAC
This 543-nucleotide ribosomal RNA is filed under the name uncultured archaeon. Its description in RNAcentral is "bacterial SSU rRNA". It matches the Rfam family "Archaeal small subunit ribosomal RNA", at positions 335 to 879 of the family's 1478-position model. The record is from RNAcentral.